Molecule: ribosomal RNA, 253 nt
Filed under: uncultured bacterium
Lineage: Bacteria
Description: partial 16S ribosomal RNA
Rfam family: Bacterial small subunit ribosomal RNA
Source: RNAcentral
UACGUAGGGUGCGAGCGUUGUCCGGAAUUACUGGGCGUAAAGCGUGCGCAGGCGGUUUUGUAAGUCUGUCGUGAAAUCCCCGGGCUCAACCUGGGAAUUGCGAUGGAGACUGCAAGGCUAGAAUCUGGCAGAGGGGGGUAGAAUUCCACGUGUAGCAGUGAAAUGCGUAGAGAUGUGGAGGAACACCGAUGGCGAAGGCAGCCCCCUGGGUCAAGAUUGACGCUCAUGCACGAAAGCGUGGGGAGCAAACAGG